ACUUAAAUUGAAGAGUUUGAUCAUGGCUCAGAUUGAACGCUGGCGGCAGGCCUAACACAUGCAAGUCGAGCGGUAGCACAGAGAGCUUGCUCUCGGGUGACGAGCGGCGGACGGGUGAGUAAUGUCUGGGAAACUGCCUGAUGGAGGGGGAUAACUACUGGAAACGGUAGCUAAUACCGCAUAACGUCGCAAGACCAAAAGUGGGGGACCUUCGGGCCUCAUGCCAUCAGAUGUGCCCAGAUGGGAUUAGCUAGUAGGUGGGGUAACGGCUCACCUAGGCGACGAUCCCUAGCUGGUCUGAGAGGAUGACC
Molecule: ribosomal RNA, 311 nt
Filed under: Klebsiella pneumoniae subsp. pneumoniae KPNIH7
Lineage: Bacteria; Pseudomonadati; Pseudomonadota; Gammaproteobacteria; Enterobacterales; Enterobacteriaceae
Description: bacterial SSU rRNA
Rfam family: Bacterial small subunit ribosomal RNA
Source: RNAcentral